CCAUGGUAUACCCAGUGCCUUUGGAAUUUUUUUGUACCCUUUUCUUAUGGAUACCUUCCAAGAAUGAGAUACUUGGACGCUUUUUAAGCUGUUGGCAGACCAUGACUUCUGUUGUAAGAGGCACCUGAGUAAAUAUCAGAAAAAAUCCGACUACAACAACUGAACUUUAUAUGGAUUUGAUCAGAGUCACUUGACAGUUUCGAUAUUAAAGGAAACAUAAAAAUGAUCAGAUAAAAUGCAUGGAAUGCAUCCUGGACUUUAAGAGUGAUGACUAAUAAAAUUAGUGGAGCAACAUUGGAAUUCCUCAGAUCCAAGAAAAAGCACUCAUAUUCCAUUCAUUUUGCAAUGAGAUUGUGGAAUCCAGUUCCCUUUUUGCUCCAGUUGUCAUCCGAAAAUUCUGCUUUUCCAGAAAAUUAAUU
This 419-nucleotide long non-coding RNA is filed under the name Laticauda laticaudata (blue-ringed sea krait). RNAcentral's name for it is "lncRNA (ENSLLTG00000004750.1)". Lineage: Eukaryota; Metazoa; Chordata; Lepidosauria; Squamata; Elapidae. The record is from RNAcentral.